RNAcentral lists this ribosomal RNA (465 nucleotides) under uncultured Arsenophonus sp. RNAcentral describes it as "bacterial SSU rRNA". It matches the Rfam family "Bacterial small subunit ribosomal RNA", at positions 338 to 795 of the family's 1533-position model. The record is from RNAcentral. Lineage: Bacteria; Pseudomonadati; Pseudomonadota; Gammaproteobacteria; Enterobacterales; Morganellaceae.
CCUCCGGGUGGCUGCAGUGGGGAAUCUUGCACAAUGGGCGCAAGCCUGAUGCAGCCAUGCCGCGUGUAUGAAGAAGGCCUUCGGGUUGUAAAGUACUUUCAGUCGUGAGGAAGGUGUUAAGGUUAAUAACCUUAGCAAUUGACGUUAGCGACAGAAGAAGCACCGGCUAACUCCGUGCCAGCAGCCGCGGUAAUACGGAGGGUGCGAGCGUUAAUCGGAAUUACUGGGCGUAAAGGGCACGCAGGCGGUUGAUUAAGUUGUAUGUGAAUUCGCCAGUGUUAAGCUGGGAAUGGCAUGCAUGACUGGUUAGAAAGAGUCGUGGAGAAGGGGCUAGAAUUCGAUGUGUCGCGGUAAGAUUCGUGGAGAUGUGGAGGAAUACCAGUGGCGAAGGCGGCCCCCUGGACAGAGACUGACGCUCAUGUGCGAGGGCGUGGGGAUCAAACAGGAUUAGAUACCCUGGAAGUC